AAAUUGAAGAGUUUGAUCAUGGCUCAGAUUGAACGCUGGCGGCAGGCCUAACACAUGCAAGUCGAACGGUAGCACAGAGAGCUUGCUCUCGGGUGACGAGUGGCGGACGGGUGAGUAAUGCCUGGGAAACUGCCUGAUGGAGGGGGAUAACUACUGGAAACGGUGGCUAAUACCGCAUAACGUCGCAAGACCAAAGAGGGGGACCUUCGGGCCUCUUGCCAUCAGAUGUGCCCAGAUGGGAUUAGCU
This 247-nucleotide ribosomal RNA is filed under the name Salmonella enterica subsp. enterica. Its description in RNAcentral is "partial 16S ribosomal RNA". It matches the Rfam family "Bacterial small subunit ribosomal RNA", at positions 1 to 246 of the family's 1533-position model. Lineage: Bacteria; Pseudomonadati; Pseudomonadota; Gammaproteobacteria; Enterobacterales; Enterobacteriaceae. The record is from RNAcentral.